GGGUUCCUGGCAUAGGCGACAGGCAGACAGUCCUCGAGCCGAUAAGUCUAUACCCGGAAGUUCCUCGCCACUGUUGGUGUGCAUGUCCGGCAGCGACCGGAACGCCUGAUACAGUGCAGGAACCUCCUCCUUGAACCGUCGGGUUCAAGGGCGACUCUGCCACCGUUAUGCCGGGAAUCCU
This 181-nucleotide non-coding RNA is filed under the name Kineobactrum sediminis. Its description in RNAcentral is "6S / SsrS RNA". It matches the Rfam family "6S / SsrS RNA". From Rfam's summary of the family: E. coli 6S RNA was the first non coding RNA to be sequenced, but its function was unknown until recently. It consists of 184 nucleotides that fold into an extended hairpin structure with a large single-stranded internal bulge. The record is from Rfam by way of RNAcentral. Lineage: Bacteria; Pseudomonadati; Pseudomonadota; Gammaproteobacteria; Cellvibrionales; Halieaceae.